Molecule: ribosomal RNA, 406 nt
Filed under: uncultured bacterium
Lineage: Bacteria
Description: partial 16S ribosomal RNA
Rfam family: Bacterial small subunit ribosomal RNA
Source: RNAcentral
GCUGAACGCUGACAGAAUGCUUAACACAUCAGCAAUUGAUUAGUGGCGGACGGGUGAGUAACGCGUAAAGAACUUGCCUCACAGCUAGGGACAACAUUUAGAAAUGAAUGCUAAUACCUAAUACUGUGAGAGAGCGUUGCGUCCCAUUAGCUAGUUGGAGAGUUAAAAGCUCACCAAGGCGUUGAUGGGUAGCCGGCCUGAGAGGGGGAACGGCCACAAGGGGACUGGGACACGGCCUGUACUCCUACGGGAGGCAGCAGUGGGGAAUAGUGGACAAUGGACCGAAGUCUGAUCAAGCAAUUCUGUGUGCAAGAUGAAGUUUUCGGAAUGUAAAGUGAUUUCAGUUGGGAAGCGGUACCAACAGAAGAAGUGACGGCUAAAUACGUGCCAGCAGCCGCGGUAAUUC